UACAGAGGUCCCAAGCGUUGUUCGGAUUCACUGGGCGUAAAGGGUGCGUAGGUGGCAAGGUAAGUUUGAUGUGAAAUCUCCGGGCUUAACCCGGAAAAUGCAUUGAAUACUCUCUUGCUAGAGGAUUGGAGGGGGGACUGGAAUUCUCGGUGUAGCAGUGAAAUGCGUAGAUAUCGAGAGGAACACCAGUGGCGAAGGCGAGUCCCUGGACAACACCUGACACUGAGGCACGAAAGCUAGGGGAGCAAACAGG
RNAcentral lists this ribosomal RNA (253 nucleotides) under uncultured bacterium. Its description in RNAcentral is "partial 16S ribosomal RNA". It matches the Rfam family "Bacterial small subunit ribosomal RNA", at positions 524 to 776 of the family's 1533-position model. The record is from RNAcentral.